RNAcentral lists this ribosomal RNA (483 nucleotides) under uncultured bacterium. Its description in RNAcentral is "bacterial SSU rRNA". It matches the Rfam family "Bacterial small subunit ribosomal RNA", at positions 28 to 526 of the family's 1533-position model. The record is from RNAcentral.
GACGAACGCUGGCGGCGUGCUUAACACAUGCAAGUCGAACGGAAAGGCCCUUCGGGGUACUCGAGUGGCGAACGGGUGAGUAACACGUGGGUGAUCUGCCCUGCACUUUGGGAUAAGCCUGGGAAACUGGGUCUAAUACCGAAUAUGACUAUGACUCGCAUGGGUUGUGGUGGAAAGCUUUUGCGGUGUGGGAUGGGCCCGCGGCCUAUCAGCUUGUUGGUGAGGUUACGGCUCACCAAGGCGACGACGGGUAGCCGGCCUGAGAGGGUGACCGGCCACACUGGGACUGAGAUACGGCCCAGACUCCUACGGGAGGCAGCAGUGGGGAAUAUUGCACAAUGGGCGCAAGCCUGAUGCAGCGACGCCGCGUGAGGGAUGACGGCCUUCGGGUUGUAAACCUCUUUCGGUAGGGACGAAGCGCAAGUGACGGUACCUAUAGAAGAAGGACCGGCCAACUACGUGCCAGCAGCCGCCGGGUAAAAC